AUUGAACGCUGGCGGAAUGCUUUACACAUGCAAGUCGAACGGUAGAGGGGGCAACCCCUCGAGAGUGGCGAACGGGUGAGUAAUAUAUCGGAACGUGCCCAGUCGUGGGGGAUAACGUAGCGAAAGUUACGCUAAUACCGCAUACGAUCUAAGGAUGAAAGCGGGGGAUCGCAAGACCUCGCGCGAUUGGAGCGGCCGAUAUCAGGUUAGGUAGUUGGUGGGGUAAAGGCUGACCAAGCCAACGAUCUGUAGCUGGUCUGAGAGGACGACCAGCCACACUGGAACUGAGACACGGUCCAGACUCCGACGGGAGGCAGCAGUGGGGAAUUUUGGACAAUGGGCGAAAGCCUGAUCCAGCCAUUCCGCGUGCAGGAUGAAGGCCCUCGGGUUGUAAACUGCUUUUGUACAGAACGAAAAGGUUUCUACUAAUACUAGGAGCUCAUGACGGUACUGUAAGAAUAAGCACCGGCUAACUACGUGCCAGCAGCCGCAGUAA
RNAcentral lists this ribosomal RNA (496 nucleotides) under uncultured bacterium. Its description in RNAcentral is "partial 16S ribosomal RNA". It matches the Rfam family "Bacterial small subunit ribosomal RNA", at positions 30 to 523 of the family's 1533-position model. The record is from RNAcentral.